Molecule: transfer RNA, 85 nt
Filed under: Emericellopsis atlantica
Lineage: Eukaryota; Fungi; Ascomycota; Sordariomycetes; Hypocreales; Bionectriaceae
Rfam family: tRNA
About the family: Transfer RNA (tRNA) molecules are approximately 80 nucleotides in length. Their secondary structure includes four short double-helical elements and three loops (D, anti-codon, and T loops).
Source: Rfam by way of RNAcentral
GCUCAAAUAGUCUAGGUGGUUAGGGCACCACGUUGUGGAUCAUUUCAGAACCGUGGAAACCCCAGUUCGAGUCUGGGUUUGGGCA